GACGAACGCUGGCGGCGUGCUUAACACAUGCAAGUCGAACGGAAAGGCCCUGCUUUUGUUGGGUGCUCGAGUGGCGAACGGGUGAGUAACACGUGAGUAACCUGCCCUUGACUUUGGGAUAACUUCAGGAAACUGGGGCUAAUACCGGCUAGGAGCUCCUGCUGCAUGGUGGGGGUUGGAAAGUUUCGGCGGUUGGGGCUGGACUCGCGGCUUAUCAGCUUGUUGGUGGGGUAGUGGCUUACCAAGGCUUUGACGGGUAGCCGGCCUGAGAGGGUGACCGGCCACAUUGGGACUGAGAUACGGCCCAGACUCCUACGGGAGGCAGCAGUGGGGAAUAUUGCACAAUGGGCGGAAGCCUGAUGCAGCAACGCCGCGUGCGGGAUGACGGCCUUCGGGUUGUAACCCGCUUUCGAAUGUGACGAAGCGUGAGUGACGGUAAUGGGUAUAGAAGCACCGGCUAACUACGUG
RNAcentral lists this ribosomal RNA (468 nucleotides) under uncultured bacterium. RNAcentral's name for it is "partial 16S ribosomal RNA". It matches the Rfam family "Bacterial small subunit ribosomal RNA", at positions 28 to 507 of the family's 1533-position model. The record is from RNAcentral.